UCCGGAUUUAUUGGGCGUAAAGCGAGCGCAGGCGGUUUUUUAAGUCUGAUGUGAAAGCCCUCGGCUUAACCGAGGAAGCGCAUCGGAAACUGGGAAACUUGAGUGCAGAAGAGGACAGUGGAACUCCAUGUGUAGCGGUGAAAUGCGUAGAUAUAUGGAAGAACACCAGUGGCGAAGGCGGCUGUCUGGUCUGUAACUGACGCUGAGGCUCGAAAGCAUGGGUAGCGAACAGGAUUANAUACCCUGGUAGUCCAUGCCGUAAACGAUGAAUGCUANGUGUUGGAGGGUUUCCGCCCUUCAGUGCCGCAGCUAACGCAUUAAGCAUUCCGCCUGGGGAGUACGACC
Molecule: ribosomal RNA, 345 nt
Filed under: Lactobacillus sp. EL6
Lineage: Bacteria; Bacillati; Bacillota; Bacilli; Lactobacillales; Lactobacillaceae
Description: bacterial SSU rRNA
Rfam family: Bacterial small subunit ribosomal RNA
Source: RNAcentral